GGAACAUCUGAAUGGAUGUGAGUUGCCAAGGGUCAUGAGUUGCCAAGAGGCACGUGUGUCAAAAGGGUACUAGUUCCCAAAGGGUGUGAGUUCCAAACGGUGACAUUGGUUUAAGGCUUAGGCCGAACCAAGUGGACAGUCCGCGGCUGCAUAGUCGAACGGACGGACGGUUUGUUUAACCGUUGUGUUGUGUCGCAAGGUCUGAUUGGUUGCAAGGAAAUCCGGUUUGGUCUUGGGCCUUACUCUGUUGUAUGGAUCCAGGCUUUGGGUCGGAUCAGGUAAGAAGGUCCGUGAGCCUUUGGUCUGGACUUAUAACUGGCCGAUCGCACCUAGCUCUUAACCAUACGGUUAGACGGGACUAUGGAUGAUCCGAUUAUGGUUGGAUGGUUCUAGCCGCAAAGGCUAAGUAGGAUAUCUUACAAUCAACUUCGAGUUGGUGAGUAGGAUAGGCGCCAUAUGCCUUAUUUAGGGCGUAGACCCACAUGAUGGCAAUGGAAGGCCGGUUAUAUCAGUACAUGCUAAGUGGACGAUGGCUUAUCUAGUCUAGUGGUCGGAUCAUGUUUCAUGACGAUGGUUCGAUGGCCGAACACUAGUAUGAAUAGUCAUGUUGCUGGAGUAAGAGUAUUGAUGUGAUGCUUCUAGAUAUCAACCUUGGUGUUGAUAGCUUCGAGAUUAGAGUCAUGACGAAGUGUGUGCCUAGUGCUAUGUGUCGUAGACCAUAGAUACUGAGCCUAAGUGUGAUUGUUCAAGGAAGGCCGUGUAAGAUCUUAUCAUGGUUGAGUAUGGACGACAUGACCUCUGAAUGAUGGUUCAAGGUGUCGGUCCUAACCUGAUUAACAAAUGCAACGGUUAGUUUGAACAAAUCAUAUAUGUUGUCUGGGUUAAGUCCCAAGGCCGAUCAGGCCAAAUGAUGACUCAUCAGUUCCAAGUCAUGUGAGGAUGGUUGGUUGAUUGACUUAGGAUCUAAUGAGUUUUGUCAGUCCAGAAGAUGGACUUGGUACUAUUGCCUAUAAGGCAAAAGGAUUUUGGAUUGUGCAUGAGCCGAGAAAGGCCAGAUGCAAACCCUUAUCCUUUCAAAGACUUCUCAAAGGUUACUUAUGUCUGUGGGGAUGGUUGGUUGAAUGACUAAGUACCUAGGGGAGCUGUUUGAUGCAGGAAUCAAGAUAAGGACCUUAAGUAAGAUCAUUGAGUGAUCGUGGUCCAGCUGUCAAGCAAGAGCAAUUCAAGUCAAUGGAGGACCGAUGAGCUAAUAAGCUCCGUAGAUGUGGCAAAGGUAUGAUCUAGCAUUUACUUAUGUACAUCUAGAUAGAAUGGUUUAGGGGAAUGGAACCUCAGAAUUGUAUGGCUUGGUUUGGGUUUAGGAUUGACCUUUAAGCCAAUUAGUAGUUGAGUAAACUGACCAAGGCUAAGGUGAUUCGACCAGACAAGUGUUAGAUUGGUUUUAGACCAAUGGUUAACUAGAGAAUAAUCCGCUGCGUAUCUGUUGAAAGGAUCUAGACUAUUAAUGACUAGGGAAGUCUUUAGCUAAGAUCUAAGUUAGCCCUCGCCUUUAGGCGAUAUUAUUAAUAAAGGGCAAAAAUUAAGAGGUUCGGCCAGGAAGUGGACCGAGCGACGUGAGGCAUCGACCGCGGCCUAGGCGGCUGGGAUCGGGUCUAACAGGCUCUUUCGGGAGCUUUCCCCGGGCGUCGAACAGUCAACUCAGAACUGGUACGGACAAGGGGAAUCCGACUGUUUAAUUAAAACAAAGCAUUACAAUGUGAUUUCUGCCCAGUGCUCUGAAUGUCAAAGUGAAGAAAUUCAACCAAGCGCGGGUAAACGGCGGGAGUAACUAUGACUCUCUUAAGGUAGCCAAAUACCUCGUCAUCUAAUUAGUGACGCGCAUGAAUAUAAUAACGAGAUUCCCACUGUCCCUGUCUACUAUUCAGCGAAACCACAGCCCAGGGAACAGGCUUGGCAGAAUCAGCGGGGAAAGAAGACCCUGUUGAGCUUGACUCUAGUCCGACUUUGUGAAAUGACUUGAGAGGUGUAGAAUAAGUGGGAGCUCCGGCGCAAGUGAAAUACCGCUACUUUUAACGUUAUUUUACUUACUCCGUGAAUCGGAGGCCGGGUAACAACCCCUUCUUUUAGACCCAAGAUUUGCUUCGGCGGGUCGAUCCGGGUGGAGGACAUUGUCAGGUGGGGAGUUUGGCUGGGGCGGCACAUUUGUUAAAAGAUAACGCAGGUUUCAUAAGAUGAGCACAACGAGAACAGAAAUCUCGUGUGGAACAAAAGGGUAAAAGCUCGUUUGAUUCUGAUUUUCAAUACAAAUACGAACCGUGAAAGCGUGGCCUAUCGAUCCUUUAGACCUUCGGAAUUUGAAGCUAGAGGUGUCAGAAAAGUUACCUCAGGGAUAACUGGCUUGUGCCAGCCAAGCGUUCAUAGCGACGUUGCUUUUUGAUCCUUCGAUAUCGGCUCUUCCUAUCAUUGUGAAGCAGAAUUCACCAAGUGUUGGAUUGUUCACCCACUAAUAGGGAACGUGAGGUGGGUUUAGACCGUCGUGAGACAGGUUAGUUUUACCCUACUGAUGCCCGCGUCCCAAUAGUAAUUCAACCUAGUACGAGAGGAACCGUUGAUUCGCACAAUUGGUCAUUGCGCUUGGUUGAAAAGCCAGUGGCGCGAAGCUACCGUGCGCUGGAUUAUGACUAAACGCCUCUAAGCCAGAAUCCGGGCUAGAAGCGACGCAUGCGCCCGCCGCCCGAUUGCCGACCCUCAGUAGGAGCUUUGGCUCCCAAAGGAACAUGUCGUUGGCUAAGUCCGUUCGGCGGAAGCCCCGUUCGGACCACCUUGAAUUAUAAUUACCACCAAGCGGCGGGUAGAAUCCUUUGCAGACGACUUAAAUACGCGACGGGGUAUUGUAAGUGGCAGAGUGGCCUUACUGCCACGAUCCACUGAGAUUCAGCCCUUUGUUGCUAAGAUUCAACCCUCCCCC
RNAcentral lists this ribosomal RNA (2968 nucleotides) under Brassica napus (rape). Its description in RNAcentral is "eukaryotic LSU rRNA". The stretch from base 1495 to 2957 matches the Rfam family "Eukaryotic large subunit ribosomal RNA", at positions 1891 to 3399 of the family's 3401-position model. Lineage: Eukaryota; Viridiplantae; Streptophyta; Magnoliopsida; Brassicales; Brassicaceae. The record is from RNAcentral.